Pan troglodytes (chimpanzee) is the source of this 148-nucleotide non-coding RNA. It matches the Rfam family "Metazoan signal recognition particle RNA". Rfam says of the family: The signal recognition particle (SRP) is a universally conserved ribonucleoprotein. It is involved in the co-translational targeting of proteins to membranes. The eukaryotic SRP consists of a 300-nucleotide 7S RNA and six proteins: SRPs 72, 68, 54, 19, 14, and 9. The record is from Rfam. NCBI's taxonomy places the organism in Eukaryota, Metazoa, Chordata, Mammalia, Primates, Hominidae.
GCUGGGCAUGGUCGCAUAUGCCUGUAAUCCCAGCUACUGGGAGGCUGAGGUAGGAGGAUCACUUGAACCUGGGAGGUUGAGACUGCAGUGAGCCAUGAUUGUGCCCACUGCACUCCAGCCUGAGCGACAAAGUGAGACACUAUCUCUA